AUUUAUCUUCUUUUGUCUUUUUCUAUUCUUUUUUUCUCAGCAAAUAGGCCAUGUUUCAUGGUAAAUUGAAAGUCUGGCCUGCUAAGACUGGUCAGGAAAUAUAUACAAUUAAGGUUAUGUAUAUUUUCUUCUAGAUGAUCUAACUGGCAUAAACUAUAAUUGAUGUGAAUCCUCACAAGUGUCCGGUCUUCGUGCCUAAACUUUUUUCAACAGCUAUUUACUGCUACAACACUGUAAUCAGGAUCAGGUAGCUGGAGUCUUAAUUGUGUCACUAGAAUUUUCAGCACGAUCAGUCCUGUUUUUCCAAAGAUGUAGUCUGAAAUUGAAGUCCCCGGAUUGUGGACCCAGUCUGCUUCUUGAUUUUCUUGUUGGCAUGAAUGCAUCAUUGUGUAUGAUUACAACUCUUCUGUGACACUGCUACAACUUUCUCUGCCGCAUUCUAGAAGGUUCUCUACUUGCUCUUGAACUCUACAGGUGGGAAUAACCUCUCUGUCCUUCUGGAGGGCUCUCUGAUCCCUGCUAGAGGCAUAUGGUAUAAAACUGAAAAUAAGCCAACCAACAUAGCAGUUUUCAUUAGUGAUGUUGUGAGUGU
RNAcentral lists this long non-coding RNA (592 nucleotides) under Coturnix japonica (Japanese quail). Its description in RNAcentral is "lncRNA (ENSCJPG00005000843.1)". The record is from RNAcentral. Lineage: Eukaryota; Metazoa; Chordata; Aves; Galliformes; Phasianidae.